Molecule: small nuclear RNA, 191 nt
Filed under: Catagonus wagneri (Chacoan peccary)
Lineage: Eukaryota; Metazoa; Chordata; Mammalia; Artiodactyla; Tayassuidae
Description: U2 spliceosomal RNA (ENSCWAG00000001767.1)
Rfam family: U2 spliceosomal RNA
About the family: U2 is a small nuclear RNA (snRNA) component of the spliceosome (involved in pre-mRNA splicing).
Source: Rfam by way of RNAcentral
AUUGCUUCUCAGCCUUUUGGCUAAGAUCAAGUGUAGUAUCUGUUAUUAUCAUUUUAAUAUCUGAUACUUCCUCUAUCCAAGGACAAUAUAAUAAAUGGAUUUUUGGAGCUGGGAGCUGGAAUAGAAGCUUGCUAUGUCCACUCCAUGCAUCAACCUGGUAUUGCAGUACUUCCAGGAAUGGUGCACCAAAA